UACGGAGGAUGCGAGCGUUAUCUGGAUUUAUUGGGUUUAAAGGGUGCGUAGGCGGCUUAGUAAGCCAGCGGUGAAAUUUUGCAGCUUAACUGUAACAGUGCCGUUGAUACUGCCAGGCUAGGAUUUGGUUACUGUGGGUGGAAUGUGUGGUGUAGCGGUGAAAUGCUUAGAUAACACACAGAAUAUCGAUUGCGAAGGCAGCUCACAAAGCCAAGAUUGACGCUGAGGCGCGAAAGUGUGGGGAUCAAACA
RNAcentral lists this ribosomal RNA (251 nucleotides) under uncultured prokaryote. RNAcentral describes it as "partial 16S ribosomal RNA". It matches the Rfam family "Bacterial small subunit ribosomal RNA", at positions 524 to 774 of the family's 1533-position model. The record is from RNAcentral.